RNAcentral lists this small nuclear RNA (117 nucleotides) under Trifolium pratense (red clover). RNAcentral's name for it is "snRNA U5". It matches the Rfam family "U5 spliceosomal RNA". From Rfam's summary of the family: U5 RNA is a component of both types of known spliceosome. The precise function of this molecule is unknown, though it is known that the 5' loop is required for splice site selection and p220 binding, and that both the 3' stem-loop and the Sm site are important for Sm protein binding and cap methylation. The record is from RNAcentral. Lineage: Eukaryota; Viridiplantae; Streptophyta; Magnoliopsida; Fabales; Fabaceae.
AGCCGUGUUGCGAUGACAUAGUGAACUAUUCUUUCGCCUUUUACUACAGAAUACCGUGUCAGCGCAACAAUUUGCGGCAUACGCUAGUUUUUGGAAGAGUCCUCUUUAUUGAGGGCU